CACAGCCAUCAGGUGCACAAACACAUGAUUGCUAAAUUGUAGACACACCAAUCAGGUUUAAGCGCUGUAAAAAUGCAGCAGGUAGGUUCAUCUGCCUUCAACCAAAAUGAAAGGAGUCAGAAGAAGAGUGAGGGUGAGAGGAGGAGUACACAGAGGAGGAGAAGGAGGUAGAGGAAGAGGAAGAGGCCGCGCCAGAGGUCGAGGAAGACCUGAAGCAGGAGGAGAACGUGCACAAAGAAGAAGAGGACCAAACUUAUCAAAUGACAUUCGUGCAACACUAGUGGACCAUGUUGUGAACCACGGAUUGACGCUGAGGGAGGCUGGACUGAGAGUUCAGCCAAAUCUUAGCAGAUAUACAGUGGCAUCUGUCAUAAGGACUUUUCGACAGGAAAACAGGAUUGAGGGUCGGGAACGACAAGGAGGAAGGGGGCCCAUAUUCAGGUCUCUCAGUCAACACUGGCACGCAUCCUGAAAAGACAUCAGGUUCAAAUGAAACAACUUUAUCGAGUGCCUUUUGAGCGGAAUUCAG
Molecule: long non-coding RNA, 529 nt
Filed under: Salmo salar (Atlantic salmon)
Lineage: Eukaryota; Metazoa; Chordata; Actinopteri; Salmoniformes; Salmonidae
Description: lncRNA (ENSSSAG00000107788.1)
Source: RNAcentral